This 256-nucleotide ribosomal RNA is filed under the name Microbispora sp. ISOM203_OTU8560. RNAcentral describes it as "partial 16S ribosomal RNA". It matches the Rfam family "Bacterial small subunit ribosomal RNA", at positions 29 to 289 of the family's 1533-position model. The record is from RNAcentral. Lineage: Bacteria; Bacillati; Actinomycetota; Actinomycetes; Streptosporangiales; Streptosporangiaceae.
ACGAACGCUGGCGGCGUGCUUAACACAUGCAAGUCGAGCGGAAAGGCCCUUCGGGGUACUCGAGCGGCGAACGGGUGAGUAACACGUGAGUAACCUGCCCCUGACUCUGGGAUAAGCCUGGGAAACUGGGUCUAAUACCGGAUAUGACACAUGACGGCAUCGUUGGUGUGUGGAAAGUUUUUCGGUUGGGGAUGGACUCGCGGCCUAUCAGCUUGUUGGUGGGGUAAUGGCCUACCAAGGCGACGACGGGUAGCCG